GACGAACGCUGGCGGCGUGCCUAAUACAUGCAAGUUGAGCGCUGAAGGUUGGUACUUGUACCAACUGGAUGAGCAGCGAACGGGUGAGUAACGCGUGGGGAAUCUGCCUUUGAGCGGGGGACAACAUUUGGAAACGAAUGCUAAUACCGCAUAAAAACUUUAAACACAAGUUUUAAGUUUGAAAGAUGCAAUUGCAUCACUCAAAGAUGAUCCCGCGUUGUAUUAGCUAGUUGGUGAGGUAAAGGCUCACCAAGGCGAUGAUACAUAGCCGACCUGAGAGGGUGAUCGGCCACAUUGGGACUGAGACACGGCCCAAACUCCUACGGGAGGCAGCAGGAGGGAAUCUUCGGCAAUGGACGAAAGUCUGAACGAGCAACGCCGCGGGAGUGAAGAAGGGUGUCGGAUCGGAAAACUCGGUUGGUAGAGAAGAAAGUUGGUGAGAGUGGAAAGCUCAUAAAGUGACGGUAACUACCCAGAAAGGGACGGCUAACUACGUG
Molecule: ribosomal RNA, 497 nt
Filed under: uncultured bacterium
Lineage: Bacteria
Description: partial 16S ribosomal RNA
Rfam family: Bacterial small subunit ribosomal RNA
Source: RNAcentral